Molecule: long non-coding RNA, 661 nt
Filed under: Sus scrofa (pig)
Lineage: Eukaryota; Metazoa; Chordata; Mammalia; Artiodactyla; Suidae
Description: lncRNA (ENSSSCG00070028527.1)
Source: RNAcentral
UUGUGUUGUGCUGUGUGUGUAGUUGCAUUUCACUCAUUCUCAUUGCUUUAGAGUGUUCCAUAGGUGAAUAUAUCACAAUUUUGUUGACAGAAGCCACUUGGGUAAUUUCUAGUUAGGGUCUGUUAUGAAGAGUGUUUCUAUAAAUACUCCUGUACACAGUUUUUGGUGAACCUAUGUGCACUUUUUUGUUGGCUCAUAUAAUGUAGGACUGGAAUUGCUGAGUCAUAAAAUGCUCAUUUAACUGAGUACUUCCAACUAAUUUUUGAGCAUGUUUAUACCAAUUUAUACUCCCACCAACAAGGUAAAAGAGUUCUACAUCCUUUUCAACCGUUGAUAUUUUCUGUUUUAUGUUUCAUAUUUUUAUUUUAGCCACAGUGAUGGCAAACAUAUCUUUAUUAAAGAGACAGAUGGUCAGAAAAAUCCCUGGCCUGUUACCUUAAGUGAACUUGAUUUUGGCAAUGUUAGCUAGUUCAUUCUCUCUUAAUGAAAUGAAUCUAGGACAGACUGAGUGCAUUCAUCCACUGAAGUUCUUCAGAAGUGAAUGAUCACCCAGUCCUCUUCCACCCACAACCAAACACAAAUGAUCUCAGCUCACAGUUACCAAGGCCUCCUGAGAAAGCAGUUUUUGCCAAGAGCUGCUUGGAAGAGAUACUCAAAAUGA